GUGAGGAAUAUUGCGCAAUGGAGGCAACUCUGACGCAGCCAUGCCGCGUGCAGGAAGAAGGCGCUACGCGUUGUAAACUGCUUUUAACCGGGAAGAAACCCCAGGACGUGUCCUGGGUUGACGGUACCGGAGGAAUAAGCACCGGCUAACUUCGUGCCAGCAGCCGCGGUAAUACGAAGGGUGCAAGCGUUAUCCGGAUUCAUUGGGUUUAAAGGGUGCGUAGGCGGAGCGUUAAGUCAGUGGUGAAAUCCUGCAGCUUAACUGUAGACUUGCCAUUGAUACUGGCGCUCUUGAGUGCGCUUGAAGUGGGCGGAAUGUGCAGUGUAGCGGUGAAAUGCUUAGAUAUGGCACAGAACACCAAUUGCGAAGGCAGCUCACUAAGGCGAUACUGACGCUGAGGCACGAAAGCGUGGGGAUCGAACAGGAUUAGAAACCCUAGUAGUCC
Molecule: ribosomal RNA, 445 nt
Filed under: uncultured bacterium
Lineage: Bacteria
Description: bacterial SSU rRNA
Rfam family: Bacterial small subunit ribosomal RNA
Source: RNAcentral